AUUGAACGCUGGCGGCAGGCCUUACACAUGCAAGUCGAACGGCAGCACGGGAGCAAUCCUGGUGGCGAGUGGCGAACGGGUGAGUAAUAUAUCGGAACGUGCCCAGUCGUGGGGGAUAACGCAGCGAAAGCUGUGCUAAUACCGCAUACGAUCUACGGAUGAAAGCGGGGGAUCGCAAGACCUCGCGCGAUUGGAGCGGCCGAUAUCAGAUUAGCUAGUUGGUGAGGUAAAGGCUCACCAAGGCGACGAUCUGUAGCUGGUCUGAGAGGACGACCAGCCACACUGGAACUGAGACACGGUCCAGACUCCUACGGGAGGCAGCAGUGGGGAAUUUUGGACAAUGGGCGAAAGCCUGAUCCAGCAAUGCCGCGUGCAGGAUGGAGGCCUUCGGGUUGUAAACUGCUUUUGUACGGAACGAAACGGUGAGCUCUAAUACAGUUUGCUAAUGACGGUACCGUAAGAAUAAGCACCGGCUAACUACGUGCCAGCCGCCGCCGUAA
This 500-nucleotide ribosomal RNA is filed under the name uncultured bacterium. RNAcentral's name for it is "partial 16S ribosomal RNA". It matches the Rfam family "Bacterial small subunit ribosomal RNA", at positions 30 to 523 of the family's 1533-position model. The record is from RNAcentral.